Molecule: RNA transcript, 1432 nt
Organism: Pezoporus occidentalis (night parrot)
Lineage: Eukaryota; Metazoa; Chordata; Aves; Psittaciformes; Psittacidae
Gene name: choline transporter-like protein 5-A
Exons: 3
Source: RefSeq, a predicted model, not a curated record
GGGAAGUAGAGAAUAAAGUAUAUACUUGUUAGUUACCUCUUGUCCCAGCAAGACAAAACUUCUUUGUUCCUUGGCCUGUGGGUAGUGCGCAGGACUGUAGCACCCGUGUAGAAUGACCUCUUGCAGCAUGCACCCUGUUCUGAGGAUUAGUACAAGAUCUUUUGGCAAAAGUCCCUCAGGUGAAUCGUGUAUGAUGGAAUCCCUUGAGGUGAAGCACAGCUUCGUGCAUGAUGUCCUCUGGUGCUUGGAUAGCAGAGCUUUGCAAAGUGUGUUUGGUUAGCACAGCUCUGGAAACGGUGAACAGCCUUCUGGAAAAGGCUGAAACUUGCUAAACAGAUGGACUUCAGACUAUGCGGGAGUGUUUAGGAGCACUAAGGAGUCAGACCGGCUGUACACUUGCAUGGUUCCAGAGCCCAGCAGAGCCUUCGGGGGCAAUGGGACAGCUGCUUCUCCAUUCCAUGAAUCCUAACUUCUGAGUGGAUGCUUCCACCAAACCCCAGUCCUUGCCUGAUUUCUCACACAGAUCUGGUUUAUAAUGGCUGUACCUCAAGUGCUCAGAAUUUCAUUCCUGGCAUGUGCACCCUUCCUGCUUUGUAACCAGGGAACAUUCAUCAUUAGUCAGCAGUAAAGUCACUUCUGAGUGAUUGACACAAAACCAUGGAGCUGUGUUUGACUGAAGAGACUGUGUAGAAGGGUUGAACAGUUUUAGCUGCACGAGGCCUUUACUGAGUAAAGUUUUCCUUACAAAUGUGCUAGAAGGACAUGAGGUGUGCACUGUGAGAGCAGCAACUGCACCACCUCACUCAGGACACGGCUGCUGAGGGAGCAGAGGAGGACCCAGCAGAUGGUUUUUACUGCUGUUAAAAAACAGUUGUUUUUUUUCCCCAGCAGCCUGGAAGCUCUGCGGAUCCACCAGGGUGUGUGGAGCCGACAGGGAUACAGGCGGUGCUGGAUGUGCCAGGGAAGGGGAGAGACUUGGAAAGUAUUUACCAAAGAGUUUGAGAAGUACUCGCCUAGGAAAUCACGAGUGCAUUGCGUCCCUUUCCAAAUGCUGCAGUAAACAUUACUGAAGGCAAUUCCGUAAAACGGGGCACUUUUACGAGUGACUUUUUUUGUUGCUUUUUGAUUGCACUGACUUUCCUUACCCUUCUCUACCCCCAGUGUGUCUUCUUUUCUUGCAGCUUUGUGUCUCAAAGUGCCCAGACAGGUUUGUGACCUACAUUGAUGUUCAGGCUUCCUACAGAUACAAACCCGAUCAGUGGAAUUACUUCAAGCAGUUCUGCAGACCUGGUUUUAACAGUCCUCGCAAGUCUGUUGCUCAAGUCCUACGUGAUGAAGAUUGUCCUUCGAUGAUCAUUCCAAGCAGGCCUUGUGAGUGGUUCUAUUUCUUACACACAACUUAGCAGAUUGUAAGUGUUCACAUGAAAGCACA